RNAcentral lists this ribosomal RNA (1011 nucleotides) under Naxa seriaria. RNAcentral describes it as "partial 16S rRNA". The record is from RNAcentral. Lineage: Eukaryota; Metazoa; Arthropoda; Insecta; Lepidoptera; Geometridae.
AAAGAGUUAAUUAAUUACUAAAUUUAUAAUGUCAAUUAUAUUUUAAAUAAUUAAUUUGAAAUGAAAAGUUAUUCGUUUUUAAAUAUAUCUAGUUUUUUCAGAAAAAAAUUUAAUUUUAAAUUUAAAAAUUGAUAAUAAAUAAAAAUUAAUUAUUUUAUUUAUUAUAUUUUAAAUUAAAUAUUUUAAGGGAUAAGCUUUAAAUUAUAAAAUUAUAAAAUAUUAAUCUAUAGAAAGAUUAUUAAUUUAAAUUUAAAAAUUUUUUAAUUUAUAUUGUUAAUAAAUUAUAAUUUAUUAUAAAUAAUUUUAAAUAAAAAAAAAUUUAAAUUUAUUUUAAAUUUAUAUGAAAAUAUUAAUUAAAAUUAUAUCAAUUAAAUAAUAAUGAUAAAAUUAGUAUAUAAAUUAAAUUAAUAAAAAUAUUAAUUAUAAUAAUUUUAUAAAAUUAAAUUUAAUUAAUUAAUAAAAAGGAAUUCGGCAAAAUUAUAUAUUCACUUGUUUAACAAAAACAUGUCUUUUUGAAUUUAAUAUAAAGUCUAAUCUGCCCACUGAAAUAAUUAUUUAAAGGGCUGCAGUAUUUUGACUGUACAAAGGUAGCAUAAUCAAUAGUCUCUUAAUUGGUGACUUGUAUGAAAGAUUGAAUGAAAUAUAUUCUGUCUAUUUAUUAAUAUGUAGAAUUUAAUUUUUUAUUUAAAAAGUUAAAAUAAAUUAAAAAGACGAGAAGACCCUAUAGAGUUUUAUAAAUGAUUUGGUUUAUGAAUUAUUUAUUUAAUAAUAAUAAUAAUUUAAAUUAAUUAAUUUAUUAUAUUGGGGUGAUAGAAAAAUAAAAUUAACUUUUUUUUUAAAAAAUACAUAAAUAAUUGAAUUUAGUUUAUUUGAUCCAAAAAGAUUGAUAAUAAGAUUAAAUUACCUUAGGGAUAACAGCGUAAUUUUUUUUUUUAGUUCGAAUAAAAAUUAAAGUUUGCGACCUCGAUGUUGGAUUAAGAUAAAAUUUGAAUGCAAAAGUUUAAAAUUUUG